Molecule: small RNA, 79 nt
Filed under: Epilithonimonas arachidiradicis
Lineage: Bacteria; Pseudomonadati; Bacteroidota; Flavobacteriia; Flavobacteriales; Weeksellaceae
Description: Chryseobacterium arachidiradicis Flavo-1 RNA
Source: RNAcentral
AUUGCGCCCCGGCUUGAACGGAGCUCUUUUUGCGGAACGAAGUGGAGCAAAAAAGCGGGAGUGGAAGACGGAUAAAGGC